This 870-nucleotide ribosomal RNA is filed under the name Pezizaceae sp. TL-6583. RNAcentral describes it as "LSU rRNA". It matches the Rfam family "Eukaryotic large subunit ribosomal RNA", at positions 38 to 924 of the family's 3401-position model. The record is from RNAcentral. Lineage: Eukaryota; Fungi; Ascomycota; Pezizomycetes; Pezizales; Pezizaceae.
GCAUAUCAAUAAGCGGAGGAAAAGAAACCAACAGGGAUUGCCCUAGUAACGGCGAGUGAAGCGGCAAAAGCUCAGAUUUGAAAUCUGGCGUCAUUUUGACGUCCGAGUUGUAGUCUGCAGAGGUGUAUUCGAGUGUGGCUUUGGCUUAAGUUCCUUGGAACAGGACGUCAUAGAGGGUGAGAACCCCGUUAACGGCCUUUGUCCUAUGCUCAUGUGAAUCUCCUUCAACGAGUCGAGUUGUUUGGGAAUGCAGCUCUAAAUGGGUGGUAAAUUCCAUCUAAAGCUAAAUACUGGCAAGAGACCGAUAGCGCACAAGUAGAGUGAUCGAAAGAUGAAAAGAACUCUGAACAGAGAGUUAAAUAGUACGUGAAAUUGUUGAAAGGGAAGCACUUCCGACCAGACGCACUUGCAGCCGAUCAACCUUCAUUCUUGAGGGUGCACUCGGUUGUCUGUGGGUCAGCAUCAGUUAUGGUGGUAGGAAAAAGACCGAGGGAAUGUGACUCCUCUCGGGGAGUGUUAUAGCCCUUGGUGCAAUGCUGCUUACUGUGACUGAGGACCGCGCUUCGGCGAGGAUGUUGGCAUAAGGUCGUAAGUGACCCGUCUUGAAACACGGACCAAGGAGUCUAACAUCUAUGCGAGUGUUUGGGUAUUCAAACCCUUACGCGGAAUGAAAGUAAAUGGAGGUGGGAACCGCAAGGUGCACCAUCGACCGAUCCUGAUGUUUUCGGAUGGAUUUGAGUAGGAGCAUAGCUGUUGGGACCCGAAAGAUGGUGAACUAUGCCUGAAUAGGGUGAAGCCAGAGGAAACUCNUGGUGGAGGCUCGCAGCGGUUCUGACGUGCAAAUCGAUCGUCAAAUUUGGGUAUAGGGGC